ACGUAGGUGGCGAGCGUUGUCCGGAAUUACUGGGUGUAAAGGGUGCGUAGGCGGGUUUGCAAGUCAGACGUGAAAACUAUCGGCUCAACCGAUAGCCUGCGUUUGAAACUGUGAAUCUUGAGUGGUGAAGAGGUAAGCGGAAUUCCUAGUGUAGCGGUGAAAUGCGUAGAUAUUAGGAGGAACACCAGUGGCGAAGGCGGCUUACUGGGCACUAACUGACGCUGAGGCACGAAAGCAUGGGGAGCAAACAG
RNAcentral lists this ribosomal RNA (251 nucleotides) under uncultured prokaryote. Its description in RNAcentral is "partial 16S rRNA". It matches the Rfam family "Bacterial small subunit ribosomal RNA", at positions 525 to 775 of the family's 1533-position model. The record is from RNAcentral.